GAGUUUGAUACAUGGCUCAAGAUGAACGCUGACAGAAUGCUUAACACAUGCAAGUCAACUUGAAUUUGGGUUUUUAACUUAGAUUUGGGUGGCGGACGGGUGAGUAACGCGUAAAGAACUUGCCUCACAGUUAGGGACAACAUUUAGAAAUGAAUGCUAAUACCUGAUAUUAUGAUUUUAAGGCAUCUUAGAAUUAUGAAAGCUAUAAGCACUGUGAGAGAGCUUUGCGUCCCAUUAGCUAGUUGGAGAGGUAACAGCUCACCAAGGCGAUGAUGGGUAGCCGGCCUGAGAGGGUGAACGGCCACAAGGGGACUGAGACACGGCCCUUACUCCUACGGGAGGCAGCAGUGGGGAAUAUUGGACAAUGGACCGAGAGUCUGAUCCAGCAAUUCUGUGUGCACGAUGAAGUUUUUCGGAAUGUAAAGUGCUUUCAGUUGGGAAGAAAGAAAUGACGGUACCAACAGAAGAAGUGACGGCUAAAUACGUGCCAGCAGCCGCGGUAAUACGUAUGUCACGAGCGUUAUCCGGAUUUAUUGGGCGUAAAGCGCGUCUAGGUGGUUAUGUAAGUCUGAUGUGAAAAUGCAGGGCUCAACUCUGUAUUGCGUUGGAAACUGUAUAACUAGAGUACUGGAGAGGUAAGCGGAACUACAAGUGUAGAGGUGAAAUUCGUAGAUAUUUGUAGGAAUGCCGAUGGGGAAGCCAGCUUACUGGACAGAUACUGACGCUAAAGCGCGAAAGCGUGGGUAGCAAACAGGAUUAGAUACCCUGGUAGUCCACGCUGUAAACGAUGAUUACUAGGUGUUGGGGGUCGAACCUCAGCGCCCAAGCAAACGCGAUAAGUAAUCCGCCUGGGGAGUACGUACGCAAGUAUGAAAACUCAAAAGGAAUUGACGGGGACCCGCACAAGCGGUGGAGCAUGUGGUUUAAUUCGACGCAAACGCGAGGAACCUUACCAGCGUUUGACAUCUUAGGAAAGAGAUAGAGAUAUUUCAGUGUCCCUUCGGGGAAACCUAAAGACAGGUGGUGCGUGGCUGUCGUCAGCUCGUGUCGUGAGAUGUUGGGUUAAGUCCCGCAAACGAGCGCAACCCCUUUCGUAUGUUACCAUCAUUAAAGUUGGGGACUCAUGCGAUACUGCCUACGAUGAGUAGGAGGAAAGGUGGGGAUGACGUCGAAGUCAUCGUGCCCCUUAUACGCUGGGCUACGACGCGUGCUACGAAUGGGUAGAACAGAGAGUUGCGAACGCCGUGUGGUGAAGGCGAU
Molecule: ribosomal RNA, 1260 nt
Filed under: uncultured bacterium
Lineage: Bacteria
Description: bacterial SSU rRNA
Rfam family: Bacterial small subunit ribosomal RNA
Source: RNAcentral